Molecule: ribosomal RNA, 216 nt
Filed under: uncultured Glomus
Lineage: Eukaryota; Fungi; Glomeromycota; Glomeromycetes; Glomerales; Glomeraceae
Description: partial small subunit ribosomal RNA
Rfam family: Eukaryotic small subunit ribosomal RNA
Source: RNAcentral
AGCAGCCGCGGUAAUUCCAGCUCCAAUAGCGUAUAUUAAAGUUGUUGCAGUUAAAAAGCUCGUAGUUGAAUUUCGGGGUCGGUAGGCUGGUCAUGCCAUCGGUAUGCACUGGUCUCACCGAUUCCUCCCUCUUGUAGAAGCGUAAUGCCAUUCAGUUGGUGUUGCGGGGAAACAGGACUGUUACUUUGAAAAAAUUAGAGUGUUUAAAGCAGGCUA